Molecule: ribosomal RNA, 437 nt
Filed under: uncultured bacterium
Lineage: Bacteria
Description: bacterial SSU rRNA
Rfam family: Bacterial small subunit ribosomal RNA
Source: RNAcentral
GGGCUCACACAAGCGGUGGAGGAUGUGGCUUAAUUCGAGGCUACGCGAAGAACCUUACCUAGGCUUAACAUGUUUGGGAAUCUCUGUGAAAGCAGAGAGUGCCUUUCGGGGAACCCUUACGUAGGUGCUGCAUGGCUGUCGUCAGCUCGUGUCGUGAGAUGUCGGGUUAAGUCCCUUAACGAGCGAAACCCUUAUCCCUAGUUGCCAGCGAGUCAUGUCGGGGACUCUAGGGAGACUGCCGGUGUUAAACCGGAGGAAGGUGGGGAUGACGUCAAGUCCUCAUGGCCUUUAUGCCUAGGGCUGCAUACGUCCUACAAUGCAACAUACAAAGGGAUGCAAAAUCGCGAGAUCAAGCAAAUCCCAGAAAGUGUUGCUCAGUUCGGAUUGCAGGCUGAAAUUCGCCUGCAUGAAGCCGGAAUCGCUAGUAAUCGCGGGUC